This 305-nucleotide ribosomal RNA is filed under the name uncultured bacterium. Its description in RNAcentral is "bacterial SSU rRNA". It matches the Rfam family "Bacterial small subunit ribosomal RNA", at positions 333 to 655 of the family's 1533-position model. The record is from RNAcentral.
CCUCGCCUACGGGGGGCAGCAGUGGGGAAUAUUGCACAAUGGGGGAAACCCUGAUGCAGCGACGCCGCGUGAGUGAAGAAGUAUUUCGGUAUGUAAAGCUCUAUCAGCAGGGAAGAUAAUGACGGUACCUGACUAAGAAGCCCCGGCUAACUACGUGCCAGCAGCCGCGGUAAUACGUAGGGGGCAAGCGUUAUCCGGAUUUACUGGGUGUAAAGGGAGCGUAGACGGCGAUGCAAGUCUGAAGUGAAAGGCGGGGGCCCAACCCCCGGCCUGCUUUGUAAACUGUAUGGCUGGAGUGCAGGCGG